Molecule: long non-coding RNA, 98 nt
Organism: Alosa sapidissima (American shad)
Lineage: Eukaryota; Metazoa; Chordata; Actinopteri; Clupeiformes; Clupeidae
Exons: 3
Source: RefSeq, a predicted model, not a curated record
AAUAAACCACUUCGUUGAUUUGUUCAAUACAAUUUCAGUGUUUAAAUAAAAACAUUUGCCAUUCUAAAAUCAUAAAACGUAUAUCAAAGCUUGUUAAA